GCAUAAGUAGGUGAUGCUGGUUUCCUUCUAGGAGCCAUCUAAAAAAAAUUUAAAUAAAUUUAAUCAAUUAUGACGACAUAUUAAAAAAAUUGUUCCGUUACCUAACUAAUCACCUAAACUAUAGUAUUCCAUCAUCUAACUAAUCACCUAAACUAAUUAUCUAACUAAUCACCUAAACUAAUUACCUAACUUAUUAAUAACCUAAACUAACUUAAAAAAAAUAAAAAAGGAGGAAAGAGAGUGUACCUUAGAGGGAGAG
Molecule: long non-coding RNA, 259 nt
Filed under: Brassica napus (rape)
Lineage: Eukaryota; Viridiplantae; Streptophyta; Magnoliopsida; Brassicales; Brassicaceae
Description: long non-coding RNA (BNAP_LNC013593)
Source: RNAcentral